Long non-coding RNA from Myzus persicae (green peach aphid), 1968 nucleotides. RefSeq lists it as uncharacterized. Lineage: Eukaryota; Metazoa; Arthropoda; Insecta; Hemiptera; Aphididae. The transcript is spliced from 4 exons. The record is from RefSeq and is a predicted model, not a curated record.
UGUAUCGAAACUCGACUAAUUAUUAUUUAUUGGUGCGCACCGUUUGAAAUCGAGUACAAUAGUCUGUACCUAAGUGUCUGUAUUAAUGUAUACCGUGUUCAACAUUUGUAGCAGUUUCCACUCGUGUUAAUAAAUAUUUUUAAUUUUUUUCGUUCUAUAAAAUAAUAAAAUUGUAUGUCAUAUUAUUGUUUUGUAUUACCUACAUGGGUAUUACCCAUAUAUUUUUAUGUAUAUAAUGUACAGAGUAAAACGAAAAUGUGUCCACGUUAAUUUUGUGUUAUUAAAUAUCAAUAGAAUAUUACAUGCGUGUGUCGAAAUUCUCAUUCCUGGCUCCUGUUGUCUAUAGGUCAGCGGGCGUCACGCAAACGGCCAAAUUCGUGUUAAAAUGCCAACCCCUAUACGAGCCUCUCCCCCCUUCCCGGACAUCACUGCAUAAAAAGUAAGUUGAAGGACACCGCGCGUACACAUGAAAACAACUACCAGUUUUAUACCAUGCUGCCGAAUAACGUCGUUCUAUUUACCAUUUCAACGAAUCGGUAUAAUUAAUUUGACUUCUCAACGACCAUUAAACACGAAACUCCCCUUCGUGAGCGAGAAGUCCCGGAAAACAUCUGCAGCAAAAUUGUUUCAAGCAAACCUUCGCUCUCCCUGCGCCCACCUCGUCGACGAAAAUCUAGUUUUGAACCCGCCGCUUUGCGAAUUUUGAAGUGCCUCAUCAAGCCUAUAAAAUAGAGACGUUCUAUCCACAGCCAACUUAUCCAGAGAAAUCGGCUCUAAAACAGAAGUCCGAUACAACAUAAUAUUAGGUUUCUGAAAUAUUAUAAUAGUUGUACGUUUGUGAAUGCUACGAUUAAAGAUAUGCAGAUGGUUACCCAUCGGGACUACUGUCUUGGUGACAAAUGAAUUGGUAAGCAAAACAUAAACUGUAUAGCUCUCCAAACGGUAUGGAAUCAUAAUAAUUACUACUACGAUUAUAAAUCAUAACUCAAAGGUAUAUCAGUUAUUCUAUUCAGUGCUAUUAUAAGUAUAAAAAUUAAAAUAGCAUAAAAUAAGUUUUUAUAAUGUUGAUAUAUGGACGGUAAUAGUUUUUUUUACAGCUGUAUUAUAGUCACUUCGGAAAACCAUUCGUAAGGAGUUUUUUUAUUAUAGGUUGAUGGGUAACGAGGAUAAUGCUAUCUUACAACAUGGUGAUGGUACCUAGUGUUAUAUAAAAUAUUUAAAAAAAAUUAAUUUUACUUUAUGCCUUAUGGAUAAUUAUAAUAAACGCACAAUUGGACACAGAGUACAAAUGUAAAUUAAAUAUACAUGUUUAGUAGUAAUAAUACAACGUGAUACAAAUUUUAUUUUAUUCUAUGAACUGUAAUCAUUUUUUAUUAACAAUUUAUUUAAAAAAAUAGAUUAAAAACUGUAAGUUUGUUUCCUAACAUUUGCACGACCAUGUGAGAAGGCAAUAAUAAAAUUUGUACUUGGGUAAAAAUAUGACGCACAGAAGUGAAUCUUAAAGUGACAUUAUUGAUACAUUUAAAGUUAUUAACAUUUUGGGACAGUCAGUUUGUUAAAUGUUAGUGUUUUCGUUUAUUUGUCAAAAAUAUCAAAAAGUGGUAAUUAUUGCAUUCAACAUUUCAACACGCAAUAUAACAGUUUAAGUGAAACAUUUAAAAAUAAUAAUUAACGCAAUCGUAGUAAGUCGGUGUUUACAUUCUAAAAAUACUCUUACCAUUCGGUAUAUUAUAUGCUCAAUUUGCUAAACGAAAUACGUUUUAAAAAUAGCAAGAAAAUUAUCCAUUUCAAACUUUUAAUAACUUAAAUGUACUAGCAAUAACGGUCUAAAAUAAUUUUAAAAAAUGUUACUGUAAAACCAUAAGCAAGUAAAUAAUAAGAUUGAUAUUCUAUUUGUUCCUAGAUUUAAUUUGAAUAAUGUUGAAAAUGUUAUAAUUGUAAGAAUUAACAUCAACAUUGCUUCGGAUG